AGUGGAUUGGAGAGAGAAAAGACAUAAAUCUAGCUAACCUGAGCUCACCACUUAUCACAUGUCCUGAUCAAUACCGCUGCUUCCUAGGAAAUUAGUACAAACUCCCUUGAUCUAUGACAUAACCCCACUUACAUCACUUUUUUUUUUGGAUUUCCUUGAUUUGAUCUCAGUCCAGGUCUGAGGCUAGUCUUCCGGAUGCCAGGAAUCAUGUGGGACAAGAGGCAAACAUCUCCUGAGAUGCCAGGGAGCGCUAUUCUUAACCCAAUCAAAGAGGCAGCUGAGCUUUGUGAAGAGAGGAGCCACAAAGCUUCCCCAUUUGCUAACCUCAGCUGUCAUCCAAGUACUCACAGGAAAUUCGUGCUUCCGCUUCAUCCACAGUGAAGAAGAAUACCUCCUUAAGAUGAUGGGACUGAUGGUUACAGACACAAUACAUCUUCUAAGUAUGAGGGAAGGAAAUCUAUUUUUCAUACUUUUGAUCUGAAUUAAAGGAUGCUCAAGGCUGCCUGCGUAGAGCAGGAGGUGAUCCAUCAUCACCUUACAGAAACUGGCCUCCAUUAAGAGUUUUUGAUAGGUUAAGUGCCUCUCUCUCUCUUACAUCAUUACUAAUGACAUUCUCAUUAUUUUUCCCAAUUACUGUGUGUAUCUGCUCUGGUGAAACACUCCUUGAGGUAUCUGUCAUAAACGACUAGGACAAGGGAAAUAUGUCCUUUGAGAUAAGCAUUCAGACAUAAGUUUACUUGCACUUCCCCCCUUCCUUUUGGAAAGGCUCCUUUAUCUGCACAGACAGAAUUAUGAUUUUGUUUUUGCAUAAAAGACAGGAUGUAGUCUCUUAGAAGCGAAGUCAUGUUUUCAUUUCGAGCUAAAGGGUUUUCUUUAAUGAAUAAUUGCAUUCUAUACGAUACCAAAGAAAUCAAUCUGAGGAGCAGGGAGUCAAGUGAUGGGCCAGUGUAAGCCCUUGGUAUGGUUGCUAGCAAUAGGUCACUGUUCUGGUUCAAGAAAUCUUUUGU
This 1007-nucleotide long non-coding RNA is filed under the name Monodelphis domestica (gray short-tailed opossum). RNAcentral describes it as "lncRNA (ENSMODG00000044870.1)". Lineage: Eukaryota; Metazoa; Chordata; Mammalia; Didelphimorphia; Didelphidae. The record is from RNAcentral.